Long non-coding RNA from Ornithodoros turicata, 1019 nucleotides. RefSeq lists it as uncharacterized. The record is from RefSeq and is a predicted model, not a curated record. The transcript is spliced from 2 exons. Lineage: Eukaryota; Metazoa; Arthropoda; Arachnida; Ixodida; Argasidae.
ACCAUAUCUCCACUGGAAGAAGAAGUAGAAGAGUAACGCCAUUCUGGAUAACGGCGGCAUCGUCAACGACGUUGAGUAGAACGACUCGAAAACCAAUGCGUUCAACUCUGCGAAGCUUCACCUUCCUUGCGCGCACCUCAGGCGGACUUGCAAAGACAGCGACGAUACGCAUUGAGUCCCUACCUAUCCAACGUCAUAAUGAACACGGCAGUGGGGUCGCUGUUUGUGUGAGACCAUUCUUCGCAGGGAAGCCGACGAGCACGGAGUUCGCUCAGUUCCUUGCCUACUACGCAGUGCAUGGUGUAAGGCAUUUCACGUUUUACCACGAGUUGACGGCAUCGGCGCACCUGAACUUGCUCAUCACGCAGCUUCCAAAUAAGUACGACGUCACCUUCCUGCCAUGGACACUAGACGUGUGGGACAUGGUCUGGGAAAGGGGGCAACUCGCUUUCAUUCAGGACUGCAUCUACAGACAUAUGGGACGGUUUGAAUAUGUCACCCUGGUGGACAUAGACGAGUUCUUAUUCCCUUUUCCAACGAAAUCUGGUGAACGAGUGACUUUAGCUCAAUUGGCGAAUACUUUGCCUCCUCAAGGAACCUGUUUUCUUUUCCGACACGUGUUCUGGGCGGUUCCUAACGAGACUGUUAGAGGAAGACUUUUUCUUUUCGAGAGCACUAAGGCUGACACGCAUGUAUGGAGACCGAGACUGCGCAGCAAGUAUCUGGUCAGGCCUCUAGGAGUCGUGGAAUGCGGGAUUCACGAGUGCAGACGGUUUGUAAACUUUGAAAGCAGCCAAAUGGUUGUUGGAAACGCACUCUUGUAUCACUACAUCAUGCCUAGUACUACGGUAAAUUAUACGAAGAAUACCAACAUGACGAUCUGGAGGAAGGAUGUGGAGGAGUCCGAUGUAAUGAAAGCAUAUCGUCGUUAUUUUACGACGGAUUUUUAAUGAACUGUCGGCUACGAUAUGCCCCUAUUUACCAGUUACGAAUGUCAUUAUAAUCCUGCAGUACAGUGA